RNAcentral lists this long non-coding RNA (1026 nucleotides) under Lonchura striata (white-rumped munia). RNAcentral's name for it is "domestica (Bengalese finch) lncRNA (ENSLSDG00000001901.1)". Lineage: Eukaryota; Metazoa; Chordata; Aves; Passeriformes; Estrildidae. The record is from RNAcentral.
UUUUGGCCCAAAGCUACAACCACCUGGACAACCACAACCUCCUUGAGCAGGCCAGGCAGGCGUAAGAGCUUCUCCCUCUUUAACUUCUGGCACAGAAUUUUUCACGUUUCCCCUCUGCCCAUUCUGAUUUCGAGCCCAUUUUCCUGUUUUUUUGGCUUUUUUUUGGAUCAAUUUUGCCCCAAAGCUACAACCACCUGGACAACCACGACCCCACCGAGCAGGCCAGGCAGGCGUAAGAGCUUCUCCCCUCUUUUCCUUCUAGCACAGCAUUUUCCACAUCCCCCUCUGCCCAUUCUGGUUGCAAACCCAUUUUCCUGCUUUUUUGGAUUUUUUUGCCCAUUUUCCUGCUUUUUUGGCUUUUUUUUUGAUCAAUUUUGGCCCAAAGCUACAACCAGCUGGACAACCUGGACCCCACGGAGCAGGCCAGGCGGGCGUAAGAGCUUCUCCCUCUUUAACUUCUGGCACAGCAUUUUCCACGUUUCCCCUCUGCCCAUUCUGAUUUCGAGGCCAUCUUCCUGCUUUUUUGGCUUUUUUUGCCCAUUUUCCUGCUUUUUUGGCUUUUUUUGAUAAAUUUUGGCCCAAAGCUACAACCACCUGGACAACCUCGACCCCACCAAACAGGCCAGGCAGGCGUAAGAGCUUCUCCCCUCUUUUCCUUCUGGCACAGCAUUUUUGUUCUGGUUGUGAAUCCAUUUUCCUGCCAUUUUGGAUUUUUUUGCCCAUUUUUUGGCUUUUUUUUUGAUCAAUUUUGGCCCAAAGCUACAACCACCUGAACAACCACGACCCCAUCGAGCAGGCCAGGCAGGCGUAAGAGCUUCUCCCCUCUUUAACUUCUGGCACAGAAUUUUUCAUGUUUCCCCUCUGCCCAUUCUGAUUUCGAGCCCAUUUUCCUGGUUUUUUGGCUUUUUUUGAUCAAUUUUGGCCCAAAGCUACAACCACCUGAACAACCUCGACCCCACCGAGCAGGCCAGGCAGGUGUAAGAGCUUCUCCCUCUUUCACUUCUGGCACAGCAUUUUCCACGUUUC